Molecule: ribosomal RNA, 1427 nt
Filed under: Klebsiella pneumoniae subsp. pneumoniae
Lineage: Bacteria; Pseudomonadati; Pseudomonadota; Gammaproteobacteria; Enterobacterales; Enterobacteriaceae
Description: bacterial SSU rRNA
Rfam family: Bacterial small subunit ribosomal RNA
Source: RNAcentral
CAUGCAGUCGAGCGGUAGCACAGAGAGCUUGCUCUCGGGUGACGAGCGGCGGACGGGUGAGUAAUGUCUGGGAAACUGCCUGAUGGAGGGGGAUAACUACUGGAAACGGUAGCUAAUACCGCAUAACGUCGCAAGACCAAAGUGGGGGACCUUCGGGCCUCAUGCCAUCAGAUGUGCCCAGAUGGGAUUAGCUAGUAGGUGGGGUAACGGCUCACCUAGGCGACGAUCCCUAGCUGGUCUGAGAGGAUGACCAGCCACACUGGAACUGAGACACGGUCCAGACUCCUACGGGAGGCAGCAGUGGGGAAUAUUGCACAAUGGGCGCAAGCCUGAUGCAGCCAUGCCGCGUGUGUGAAGAAGGCCUUCGGGUUGUAAAGCACUUUCAGCGGGGAGGAAGGCGGUGAGGUUAAUAACCUCAUCGAUUGACGUUACCCGCAGAAGAAGCACCGGCUAACUCCGUGCCAGCAGCCGCGGUAAUACGGAGGGUGCAAGCGUUAAUCGGAAUUACUGGGCGUAAAGCGCACGCAGGCGGUCUGUCAAGUCGGAUGUGAAAUCCCCGGGCUCAACCUGGGAACUGCAUUCGAAACUGGCAGGCUAGAGUCUUGUAGAGGGGGGUAGAAUUCCAGGUGUAGCGGUGAAAUGCGUAGAGAUCUGGAGGAAUACCGGUGGCGAAGGCGGCCCCCUGGACAAAGACUGACGCUCAGGUGCGAAAGCGUGGGGAGCAAACAGGAUUAGAUACCCUGGUAGUCCACGCCGUAAACGAUGUCGAUUUGGAGGUUGUGCCCUUGAGGCGUGGCUUCCGGAGCUAACGCGUUAAAUCGACCGCCUGGGGAGUACGGCCGCAAGGUUAAAACUCAAAUGAAUUGACGGGGGCCCGCACAAGCGGUGGAGCAUGUGGUUUAAUUCGAUGCAACGCGAAGAACCUUACCUGGUCUUGACAUCCACAGAACUUUCCAGAGAUGGAUUGGUGCCUUCGGGAACUGUGAGACAGGUGCUGCAUGGCUGUCGUCAGCUCGUGUUGUGAAAUGUUGGGUUAAGUCCCGCAACGAGCGCAACCCUUAUCCUUUGUUGCCAGCGGUCCGGCCGGGAACUCAAAGGAGACUGCCAGUGAUAAACUGGAGGAAGGUGGGGAUGACGUCAAGUCAUCAUGGCCCUUACGACCAGGGCUACACACGUGCUACAAUGGCAUAUACAAAGAGAAGCGACCUCGCGAGAGCAAGCGGACCUCAUAAAGUAUGUCGUAGUCCGGAUUGGAGUCUGCAACUCGACUCCAUGAAGUCGGAAUCGCUAGUAAUCGUAGAUCAGAAUGCUACGGUGAAUACGUUCCCGGGCCUUGUACACACCGCCCGUCACACCAUGGGAGUGGGUUGCAAAAGAAGUAGGUAGCUUAACCUUCGGGAGGGCGCUUACCACUUUGUGAUUCAUGA